This 430-nucleotide ribosomal RNA is filed under the name uncultured bacterium. Its description in RNAcentral is "bacterial SSU rRNA". It matches the Rfam family "Bacterial small subunit ribosomal RNA", at positions 355 to 776 of the family's 1533-position model. The record is from RNAcentral.
UGGGGAAUUGUUCACAAUGGGCGCAAGCCUGAUGACGCAACGCCGCGUGGGGGAUGAAGGUCUUCGGAUCGUAAACCCCUGUCGAAUGGGACGAAUAGCCCGCGAAUUAAUACCUCGUGGGAAUGACGGUACCGUUAAAGGAAGCCACGGCUAACUCUGUGCCAGCAGCCGCGGUAAUACAGAGGUGGCAAGCGUUGUUCGGAAUUACUGGGCGUAAAGGGCGCGUAGGCGGCCUUCUAAGUCAGACGUGAAAUCCCCCGGCUUAACCUGGGAACUGCGUCUGAUACUGGGAGGCUAGAGUUUGGGAGAGGGAUGUAGAAUUCCAGGUGUAGCGGUGAAAUGCGUAGAUAUCUGGAGGAAUACCGGUGGCGAAGGCGGCAUCCUGGACCAAUACUGACGCUGAGGCGCGAAAGCUAGGGGAGCAAACGGG